This 2925-nucleotide ribosomal RNA is filed under the name Escherichia coli. RNAcentral's name for it is "23S ribosomal RNA". It matches the Rfam family "Bacterial large subunit ribosomal RNA". The record is from RNAcentral. Lineage: Bacteria; Pseudomonadati; Pseudomonadota; Gammaproteobacteria; Enterobacterales; Enterobacteriaceae.
GGGUUGUGAGGUUAAGCGACUAAGCGUACACGGUGGAUGCCCUGGCAGUCAGAGGCGAUGAAGGACGUGCUAAUCUGCGAUAAGCGUCGGUGAGGUGAUAUGAACCGUUAUAACCGGCGAUUUCCGAAUGGGGAAACCCAGUGUGUUUCGACACACUAUCAUUAACUGAAUCCAUAGGUUAAUGAGGCGAACCGGGGGAACUGAAACAUCUAAGUACCCCGAGGAAAAGAAAUCAACCGAGAUUCCCCCAGUAGCGGCGAGCGAACGGGGAGGAGCCCAGAGCCUGAAUCAGUGUGUGUGUUAGUGGAAGCGUCUGGAAAGGCGCGCGAUACAGGGUGACAGCCCCGUACACAAAAAUGCACAUGCUGUGAGCUCGAUGAGUAGGGCGGGACACGUGGUAUCCUGUCUGAAUAUGGGGGGACCAUCCUCCAAGGCUAAAUACUCCUGACUGACCGAUAGUGAACCAGUACCGUGAGGGAAAGGCGAAAAGAACCCCGGCGAGGGGAGUGAAAAAGAACCUGAAACCGUGUACGUACAAGCAGUGGGAGCCUCUUAAUGGGGUGACUGCGUACCUUUUGUAUAAUGGGUCAGCGACUUAUAUUCUGUAGCAAGGUUAACCGAAUAGGGGAGCCGAAGGGAAACCGAGUCUUAACUGGGCGUUAAGUUGCAGGGUAUAGACCCGAAACCCGGUGAUCUAGCCAUGGGCAGGUUGAAGGUUGGGUAACACUAACUGGAGGACCGAACCGACUAAUGUUGAAAAAUUAGCGGAUGACUUGUGGCUGGGGGUGAAAGGCCAAUCAAACCGGGAGAUAGCUGGUUCUCCCCGAAAGCUAUUUAGGUAGCGCCUCGUGAAUUCAUCUCCGGGGGUAGAGCACUGUUUCGGCAAGGGGGUCAUCCCGACUUACCAACCCGAUGCAAACUGCGAAUACCGGAGAAUGUUAUCACGGGAGACACACGGCGGGUGCUAACGUCCGUCGUGAAGAGGGAAACAACCCAGACCGCCAGCUAAGGUCCCAAAGUCAUGGUUAAGUGGGAAACGAUGUGGGAAGGCCCAGACAGCCAGGAUGUUGGCUUAGAAGCAGCCAUCAUUUAAAGAAAGCGUAAUAGCUCACUGGUCGAGUCGGCCUGCGCGGAAGAUGUAACGGGGCUAAACCAUGCACCGAAGCUGCGGCAGCGACACUAUGUGUUGUUGGGUAGGGGAGCGUUCUGUAAGCCUGUGAAGGUGGCCUGUGAGGGUUGCUGGAGGUAUCAGAAGUGCGAAUGCUGACAUAAGUAACGAUAAAGCGGGUGAAAAGCCCGCUCGCCGGAAGACCAAGGGUUCCUGUCCAACGUUAAUCGGGGCAGGGUGAGUCGACCCCUAAGGCGAGGCCGAAAGGCGUAGUCGAUGGGAAACAGGUUAAUAUUCCUGUACUUGGUGUUACUGCGAAGGGGGGACGGAGAAGGCUAUGUUGGCCGGGCGACGGUUGUCCCGGUUUAAGCGUGUAGGCUGGUUUUCCAGGCAAAUCCGGAAAACCAAGGCUGAGGCGUGAUGACGAGGCACUACGGUGCUGAAGCGACAAAUGCCCUGCUUCCAGGAAAAGCCUCUAAGCAUCAGGUAACAUCAAAUCGUACCCCAAACCGACACAGGUGGUCAGGUAGAGAAUACCAAGGCGCUUGAGAGAACUCGGGUGAAGGAACUAGGCAAAAUGGUGCCGUAACUUCGGGAGAAGGCACGCUGAUAUGUAGGUGAAGCGACUUGCUCGUGGAGCUGAAAUCAGUCGAAGAUACCAGCUGGCUGCAACUGUUUAUUAAAAACACAGCACUGUGCAAACACGAAAGUGGACGUAUACGGUGUGACGCCUGCCCGGUGCCGGAAGGUUAAUUGAUGGGGUUAGCGGCAACGCGAAGCUCUUGAUCGAAGCCCCGGUAAACGGCGGCCGUAACUAUAACGGUCCUAAGGUAGCGAAAUUCCUUGUCGGGUAAGUUCCGACCUGCACGAAUGGCGUAAUGAUGGCCAGGCUGUCUCCACCCGAGACUCAGUGAAAUUGAACUCGCUGUGAAGAUGCAGUGUACCCGCGGCAAGACGGAAAGACCCCGUGAACCUUUACUAUAGCUUGACACUGAACAUUGAGCCUUGAUGUGUAGGAUAGGUGGGAGGCUUUGAAGUGUGGACGCCAGUCUGCAUGGAGCCGACCUUGAAAUACCACCCUUUAAUGUUUGAUGUUCUAACGUGGGCCCCUUACCGGGGUUGCGGACAGUGUCUGGUGGGUAGUUUGACUGGGGCGGUCUCCUCCUAAAGAGUAACGGAGGAGCACGAAGGUUGGCUAAUCCUGGUCGGACAUCAGGAGGUUAGUGCAAUGGCAUAAGCCAGCUUGACUGCGAGCGUGACGGCGCGAGCAGGUGCGAAAGCAGGUCAUAGUGAUCCGGUGGUUCUGAAUGGAAGGGCCAUCGCUCAACGGAUAAAAGGUACUCCGGGGAUAACAGGCUGAUACCGCCCAAGAGUUCAUAUCGACGGCGGUGUUUGGCACCUCGAUGUCGGCUCAUCACAUCCUGGGGCUGAAGUAGGUCCCAAGGGUAUGGCUGUUCGCCAUUUAAAGUGGUACGCGAGCUGGGUUUAGAACGUCGUGAGACAGUUCGGUCCCUAUCUGCCGUGGGCGCUGGAGAACUGAGGGGGGCUGCUCCUAGUACGAGAGGACCGGAGUGGACGCAUCACUGGUGUUCGGGUUGUCAUGCCAAUGGCACUGCCCGGUAGCUAAAUGCGGAAGAGAUAAGUGCUGAAAGCAUCUAAGCACGAAACUUGCCCCGAGAUGAGUUCUCCCUGACUCCUUGAGGGUCCUGAAGGAACGUUGAAGACGACGACGUUGAUAGGCCGGGUGUGUAAGCGCAGCGAUGCGUUGAGCUAACCGGUACUAAUGAACCGUGAGGCUUAACCUUACAACGCCGAAG